Copidosoma floridanum is the source of this 306-nucleotide long non-coding RNA. The record is from RefSeq and is a predicted model, not a curated record. NCBI's taxonomy places the organism in Eukaryota, Metazoa, Arthropoda, Insecta, Hymenoptera, Encyrtidae.
UUGAGCGUAUAACUGCGGCUUUGGCGAGCUAAAGGACCAUAAGUGAAGUCACACACGUGCGGUUACGACGAUGACAUUGUACGGGAUAUGCGUUGCGACACUACAGCUUGUGGGCUGGGAGGCGGUGGCCAGAGCGAGUUUUGGCAGCGAUUAAUUGUACGCGUCUCCAUGGAUUACCGGAUGGAUGUGACAGAGGUGAAAUGAAGUCGUACUCGAACGAUUGUUCUCGCUGAUCCAAACAUGGAUCUCUUUUUUUUGAAGCAUGAGUCAAAAGGAAUUUUUACGAAUUGGGCAGCCCAAUGAACC